Molecule: non-coding RNA, 164 nt
Filed under: Tistlia consotensis USBA 355
Lineage: Bacteria; Pseudomonadati; Pseudomonadota; Alphaproteobacteria; Rhodospirillales; Rhodovibrionaceae
Also listed under: 1 other name
Description: alpha proteobacterium USBA 355 Glycine riboswitch aptamer
Rfam family: Glycine riboswitch aptamer
About the family: This family represents the bacterial glycine riboswitch.
Source: Rfam by way of RNAcentral
UUGGACGCCUCUGGAGAGCGGGCCGCGCGCAGAUCCUGCACGCGGUCUCACCGAAGGGGGUAAUCCGUUCGCCCGCGGGGUCCAGCACCCCGCGAACCCGUUUUUGUUACGGCUUUGGGUUCGGCGGCGGGAAAUCUCUCAGGGUCGUGGACAGAGGGGGCGCG